GGCCAAGUUUUUAAGGGCGCACGGUGGAUGCCUUGGCACCAGGAACCGAUGAAGGACGUGGGAGGCCACGAUAGGCCCCGGGGAGUCGUCAACCAGGCUUUGAUCCGGGGGUGUCCGAAUGGGGAAACCCGGCAGUCGUCAUGGGCUGUCACCCGCUGCUGAACACAUAGGCAGUGUGGAGGGAACGCGGGGAAGUGAAACAUCUCAGUACCCGCAGGAAGAGAAAACAACCGUGAUUCCGGGAGUAGUGGCGAGCGAAACUGGAUGAGGCCAAACCGUAUACGUGUGAGACCCGGCAGGGGUUGCGUGUGCGGGGUUGUGGGAUCUCUCUUCCACGGUCUGCCGGCCGUGGGGCGAGUCAGAAACCGUUGAUGUAGGCGAAGGACAUGCGAAAGGUCCGGCGUAGAGGGUAAGACCCCCGUAGUCGAAACGUCAGCGGCUUGCUUGAGAGACACCCAAGUAGCACGGGGCCCGAGAAAUCCCGUGUGAAUCUGGCGGGACCACCCGCUAAGCCUAAAUAUUCCCUGGUGACCGAUAGCGGAUAGUACCGUGAGGGAAUGGUGAAAAGUACCGCGGGAGCGGAGUGAAAUAGUACCUGAAACCGUGUGCCUACAAGCCGUGGGAGCGUCGGACAUCAGCUUGCUGGUGUCUCGUGACUGCGUGCCUUUUGAAGAAUGAGCCUGCGAGUUUGCGGUGUGUUGCGAGGUUAACCCGGGUGGGGUAGCCGUAGCGAAAGCGAGUCCGAACAGGGCGAUUCAGUAGCACGCUCAAGACCCGAAGCGGAGUGAUCUAGCCAUGGGCAGGUUGAAGCGGAGGUAAGACUUCGUGGAGGACCGAACCCACCAGGGUUGAAAACCUGGGGGAUGACCUGUGGUUAGGGGUGAAAGGCCAAUCAAACUCCGUGAUAGCUGGUUCUCCCCGAAAUGCAUUUAGGUGCAGCGUCGUGUGUUUCUUGCCGGAGGUAGAGCACUGGAUAGGCGAUGGGCCCUACCGGGUUACUGACCUUAGCCAAACUCCGAAUGCCGGUAAGUGAGAGCGCGGCAGUGAGACUGUGGGGGAUAAGCUCCAUGGUCGAGAGGGAAACAGCCCAGAGCAUCGACUAAGGCCCCUAAGCGUACGCUAAGUGGGAAAGGAUGUGGAGUCGCACAGACAACCAGGAGGUUGGCUUAGAAGCAGCCACCCUUGAAAGAGUGCGUAAUAGCUCACUGGUCUAGUGAUUCCGCGCCGACAAUGUAGCGGGGCUCAAGCGUACCGCCGAAGUCGUGUCAUUCAUACAACAGGGCCAACGCCUGUAUGGAUGGGUAGGGGAGCGUCGUGUGCCGGGUGAAGCAGCCGCGGAAGCGAGUUGUGGACGGUUCACGAGUGAGAAUGCAGGCAUGAGUAGCGAUACAAACGUGAGAAACGUUUGCGCCGAUUGACUAAGGGUUCCUGGGUCAAGCUGAUCUGCCCAGGGUAAGUCGGGACCUAAGGCGAGGCCGACAGGCGUAGUCGAUGGAUAACCGGUUGAUAUUCCGGUACCCGCUGUGAAGCGUCAAACAUCGAAUCCAGUGAUGCUAAGGCCGUGAAGCCGCCCCUGAUCUCUUCGGAGUGAGGGGGAGUGGUGGAGCCGCUGAACCAAGUUGGUAGUAGGUGAGUGAUGGGGUGACGCAGGAAGGUAGUCCAUCCCGGGCGGUGGUUGUCCCGGGGUAAGGGUGUAGGACGUCAGGUAGGUAAAUCCGCCUGGCAAUAGUCUGAGACCUGAUGCCGAGCCGAUUGUGGUGAAGUGGAUGAUCCUAUGCUGUCGAGAAAAGCCUCUAGCGAGUUUCAUGGCGGCCCGUACCCUAAACCGACUCAGGUGGUCAGGUAGAGAAUACCGAGGCGUUCGGGUGAACUAUGGUUAAGGAACUCGGCAAAAUGCCCCCGUAACUUCGGGAGAAGGGGGGCCAUUCUUGGUGAUCGGAUUUACUCCGUGAGCUGGGGGUGGCCGCAGAGACCAGCGAGAAGCGACUGUUUACUAAAAACACAGGUCCGUGCGAAGCCGUAAGGCGAUGUAUACGGACUGACGCCUGCCCGGUGCUGGAACGUUAAGGGGACCGGUUAGCUCCAUUUCGGUGGGGCGAAGCUGAGAACUUAAGCGCCAGUAAACGGCGGUGGUAACUAUAACCAUCCUAAGGUAGCGAAAUUCCUUGUCGGGUAAGUUCCGACCUGCACGAAUGGCGUAACGACUUCUCGACUGUCUCAACCAUAGGCCCGGUGAAAUUGCACUACGAGUAAAGAUGCUCGUUUCGCGCAGCAGGACGGAAAGACCCCGGGACCUUUACUACAGUUUGAUAUUGGUGUUCGGUUCGGCUUGUGUAGGAUAGCUGGGAGACUUUGAAGCUCGCACGCCAGUGUGGGUGGAGUCGUCGUUGAAAUACCAGUCUGGUCGUGCUGGAUGUCUAACCUGGGUCCGUGAUCCGGAUCAGGGACAGUGUCUGAUGGGUAGUUUAACUGGGGCGGUUGCCUCCUAAAGGGUAACGGAGGCGCCCAAAGGUUCCCUCAGCCUGGUUGGCAAUCAGGUGUUGAGUGUAAGUGCACAAGGGAGCUUGACUGUGAGACCGACGGGUCGAGCAGGGACGAAAGUCGGGACUAGUGAUCCGGCGGUGGCUUGUGGAAGCGCCGUCGCUCAACGGAUAAAAGGUACCCCGGGGAUAACAGGCUGAUCUUCCCCAAGAGUCCAUAUCGACGGGAUGGUUUGGCACCUCGAUGUCGGCUCGUCGCAUCCUGGGGCUGGAGUCGGUCCCAAGGGUUGGGCUGUUCGCCCAUUAAAGCGGUACGCGAGCUGGGUUUAGAACGUCGUGAGACAGUUCGGUCCCUAUCCGCUGUGCGCGUAGGAGUCUUGAGAAGGGCUGUCCCUAGUACGAGAGGACCGGGACGGACGAACCUCUGGUGUGCCAGUUGUUCUGCCAAGGGCAUGGCUGGUUGGCUACGUUCGGGAGGGAUAACCGCUGAAAGCAUCUAAGCGGGAAGCCUGCUUCGAGAUGAGGACUCCCACCUCCUAGAGAGGGUAAGGCUCCCAGUAGACGACUGGGUUGAUAGGCCAGAUAUGGAAGCCGGGUAACCGGUGGAGUUGACUGGUACUAAUAGGCCGAGGGCUUGUCCUC
Molecule: ribosomal RNA, 3122 nt
Filed under: Streptomyces rochei
Lineage: Bacteria; Bacillati; Actinomycetota; Actinomycetes; Kitasatosporales; Streptomycetaceae
Description: 23S ribosomal RNA
Rfam family: Bacterial large subunit ribosomal RNA
Source: RNAcentral